RNAcentral lists this ribosomal RNA (497 nucleotides) under uncultured bacterium. Its description in RNAcentral is "partial 16S ribosomal RNA". It matches the Rfam family "Bacterial small subunit ribosomal RNA", at positions 28 to 507 of the family's 1533-position model. The record is from RNAcentral.
GAUGAACGCUGGCGGCGUGCCUAAUACAUGCAAGUCGAGCGAACGGACGAGAAGCUUGCUUCUCUGAUGUUAGCGGCGGACGGGUGAGUAACACGUGGAUAACCUACCUAUAAGACUGGGAUAACUUCGGGAAACCGGAGCUAAUACCGGAUGAUAUUUUGAACCGCAUGGUUCAAAAGUGAAAGACGGUCUUGCUGUCACUUAUAGAUGGAUCCGCGCUGCAUUAGCUAGUUGGUAAGGUGACGGCUUACCAAGGCAACGAUGCAUAGCCGACCUGAGAGGGUGAUCGGCCACACUGGAACUGAGACACGGUCCAGACUCCUACGGGAGGCAGCAGUAGGGAAUCGUCCGCAAUGGUCGAAAGCCUGACGGAGCAACGCCGCGUGAGUGAUGAAGGUCUUCGGAGCGUAAAACUCUGUUAUUAGGGAAGAACAUAUGUGUAAGUAACUGUGCACAUCGUGACGGUACCUAAUCAGAAAGCCACGGCUAACUACGUG